ACACGACUACAUUAGAUACCCCUGUAGUCCCAGCCGUAAACGAUACUCGCUAGGUGUCGGCCACGGUGCGACCGUUGUCGGUGCCGUAGGGAAGCCGUGAAGCGAGCCACCUGGGAAGUACGGCCGCAAGGCUGAAACUUAAAGGAAUUGGCGGGGGUGCACAACAACGGGUGGAGCUUGCGGUUUAAUUGGAUUCAACGCCGGAAAUCUUACCGGGACCGACAGCAACAUGAAGGCCAAGCUGAAGACUUUGCCGGAUUAGCUG
This 265-nucleotide ribosomal RNA is filed under the name uncultured archaeon. RNAcentral describes it as "partial 16S ribosomal RNA". It matches the Rfam family "Archaeal small subunit ribosomal RNA", at positions 717 to 982 of the family's 1478-position model. The record is from RNAcentral.